This is a long non-coding RNA of Astyanax mexicanus (Mexican tetra), 800 nucleotides long. RefSeq lists it as uncharacterized. Lineage: Eukaryota; Metazoa; Chordata; Actinopteri; Characiformes; Acestrorhamphidae. The transcript has 2 exons. The record is from RefSeq and is a predicted model, not a curated record.
CUUAAUAUAAUCGUUCACAUCUCAAUUAACAUAUAUUUUGUCUAAGUUUUGCCAACAGAUUUAUUGUUUUUGCAGUGUAGAGGGUUAGCAGUAUUGACCAAUCUUUUUUGGGACUGUGAAACACAAUAUGCUUUUCUAAGGAUAUUGUGGACUCUGGAGUGUAAAUAGACUUGUUUAACUGGGGUAAGUUGAGUACUGCAGAUUUUGAGUAAAAAUCCAUGUACCAAAUAUUAAGAAAAUUAUUUUGUAACAUGAAAAUGUCUUUAAAUAUCGUAAUAUUGUAACAUUUUUACCAUAUCGCCCACCCCUUCAGUUAUCUUGCUUUGCAGAAAACAAAAGGACUGAUUUGUAUUUGACUCAUCGUCCACGAAAUGCCUAAUUCCUUGUGAGAGAUGCAACAGGUCCAGACUGCUCCCCAAAUCUCAAGGCUAAACUCUCUUACUGGACGGCAAGGUCGCUCCACAAAGGAGAGAAGAAAAAGAAAACAUCUACAAAUGACACCACAGACCAGAUCUGGCCUCUCUCAGUCACUCACUCACUCGUCUCACACUCCAACCAAAUGGCUUCUUCACAGGACCAACUUCACAUUACAUCAUUCAGUGAUGUCUAAACUUUUUUAGGUGUGAGUUACUUAAUUCCACUUCAUUUUCAGCUGUUUAGUGUGAACUUUCCCACCUACAAAGGGUUGCUGUAAACCACUUUCCUCCUGAAAGUAAGGAGCAAUUUGUUCUCAAGCUUUUAUCCUCCUGAAUGUCUUGGGGCCAUUAAGGCACUAAGAAUAAAGAUGACUAGAUAUGUAA